Molecule: RNA transcript, 2597 nt
Organism: Mercurialis annua (annual mercury)
Lineage: Eukaryota; Viridiplantae; Streptophyta; Magnoliopsida; Malpighiales; Euphorbiaceae
Gene name: (S)-N-methylcoclaurine 3'-hydroxylase isozyme 1-like
Exons: 3
Source: RefSeq, a predicted model, not a curated record
UGAAUCUUUUGUUCCAUUCACUGUGUAGCUUAAUUUACAUUUGUAACAAAAUGUUAGAAAUGCUCUGUUCAUGUUCGAUGAAAGUCCUCAACCACAACUUGACUAGCUGUAAUUUAGUACGACAAAUGAAUGACUGGCUGAAUUAGUCAUCACACAAAUAGGUCAACAGUGACUCGUUUAACGAUUGUAAUAACAGAGUUGGAGUUUUAGUUAUGCAGAAGAUGGAUCAAACACCUUUGGCAUCAACCUUGUUAUCCCCCCCUUAUGUACUUCUUCUUCUACUACCUCUUGUCUUCAUCAUCCACAAAUAUUUUACCUCCGUUUCUUCGAAAAGCCGACCUCUUCCUCCAGGUCCGAGGCCAUGGCCAAUCAUAGGAAACAUUCAUCAAAUUGGGAAAAACCUUCAUAUCUCCCUUACCCAUUUUGCCAAACUUUAUGGCCCUCUCAUUUCACUAAGACUCGGCACUCGAGUCGUCGUUGUCGCCUCUUCUCCUAUGGCUGCAAGUGAAAUUCUCAAAACUCAUGACCGCUUGCUUUCUGCUAGAAGUAUACAGAAAGCACUCCCGUAUAAGAUCUGUGAUGUUGAUCGUGUAGCCAUUGUUUGGGCUUCCACUUGCAAUGACAGAUGGAAGUCAUUGCGGGCCUUGUGCAGGACCGAGCUUUUCUCCAACAAGGCAAUCGAAUCACAGGCUGCAAUGAGGGAGAAGAAAAUGACAGAGAUGGUGGAGUUUUUGAGUACAAAGCAAGGACAGGUAGUCAAUCUUGGUGAGGUUGUGUUUACUUGUGCUUUUAACACGAUUUACAAUCUUUUAUUCUCGAGGGACUUGCUUAGUUUUGAAGAGGAAGAUAAGAAUAGCGGACUGAAAAAGGUGACAUCGAGAUUGAUGGAGCUGACCGUUGCUCCAAAUAUAGCUGAUUUCUAUCCAAUAUUGUCUAGGUUAGAUCCUCAAGGUAUGCAAAAGGAGAUGUCUCAGUGCAUGAAAGAAAUCUUUGCAGCUUGGGAAAGUCACGUCAAGGAAAGAAGAGAAACCCAUGUCCAUGGCUCUCCUAUAAUUGAUUUCUUGGGUGUUUUUCUUGCCAAUGAUUUUGAUGAUGAUCAGAUCAAUUGGUUGGCUUUUGAAUUGUUGCUAGCAGGCUCAGAAACUACAAGCACAGCAAUAGAAUGGGCAAUGACUGAACUGCUUAAGAACAAACAAGUCAUGGAAAAAGCUUGUGAAGAAGUGGAUAUAGAAAUUAAACUUAACUCGAUGAAGGAAUCUGAUAUUUCUAAACUCGAGUAUCUAAAUGCAUGUGUAAAGGAAUCUCUAAGAUUGCAUCCUCCUGUUGCAUUCCUCCUUCACCGUGCUUUGGAAACAUGUGAAGUUAUGAAUUAUACAGUUCUAAAAGAUGCUCAAAUUUUGGUGAAUAUAUGGGCUAUCGGGAGGGAUCCCUCAGUUUGGGAAGAGCCGUUGCUGUUCAAUCCAAGCAGGUUUCUGAGCUCAAGUGUUGACUUCAAAGGACAUGAUUUUGAGCUAAUCCCAUUUGGAUCGGGAAGAAGAAUUUGUGUUGGACUACCAAUGGCUACAAGGCAGCUUCACUUGAUUUUGGCCACUUUGAUACAUCACUUUGAUUGGUCUCUUCCAAACGGUGGGGAUUUUGUCAGCUUAGAUAUGACUGAAAAGUUUGGUCUAACAUUGCAGAAGCGACAACCUUUGUUUCUCGUUCCCUCAAGACGAAGAUUAUAGUGAACUUUAACAUUUCUAUUGUUUUAUCUUAUCUGGUCAGAGAAAUGCCUGUUACACAGUCCAUCAAGUUCUCUGAACGACAAGAAGAGGCGAAUCCUUGGUCAGUGUGAUUCCAAAUCUAUCAUUCAUAUCCAGCGAUGAAUGAACAGACCAAUCAAAGCCAUGAAUCAAAGAGGCUAAGAUCAACACAAGCUGUCUCGAAGCCACUGCUAGUCCUGGACACACCCUUCGUCCUGAACCAAACGGUAACAACUGAAAAUCAUGACCUUUAAACUCCACAUUUGGCAGCACAAAUCUUUCCGGUUUAAACCUAAGCGGAUCUUUCCAUACUGAUGGAUCGCGUCCUAUUGCCCAAACAUUCACAAGUACUUGAGAAUCCUUUGGAAUUAUAUAGCCCAUAACUUCACAAGUCUCUGCUGCUCGACGUGGAAUCAGAAAUGGAGCUGGAGGGUGUAAUCUUAAUGUUUCUUUUACACACGCAUUCACAUACUCGAGCUUAGAAAUAUCAGAUUCUUUUAUGUUGCUGCGCUGGAUUUCUGUAUCAACCUCUUCUGCAACAUUUUGUAAGAUUGCUCUUUCUUUCAGUAGCUCAGUCAUCGCCCAUUCUACUACUGUGGUAGUAGUGUCCACCCCUGCAGCAAACAGUUCCUACACCAAAAGAUUAUUGAUAAGUUGAUAUCUAUGUAGCACGGAAACAGAAAUAUUGAAAUAGAAUUCAACUAAACGACAUAAGAACAGCUUAUACAUAGAGUUUAAGAAUUUGAGAAAUGAAAAUAAAAUGCCGAAAAUGUACUUACAAGAACCAACCAAUUGAUUUGAUGAUCAUCAAAUCCUUUAGAAAGAAAAAUAUCUAAAAAAUCUUUCUGUGGCGAA